Ictalurus punctatus (channel catfish) is the source of this 253-nucleotide long non-coding RNA. The record is from Ensembl. Lineage: Eukaryota; Metazoa; Chordata; Actinopteri; Siluriformes; Ictaluridae.
UAAACAACUGCUCGUGGAGUCACGUCUCCGGCUCCAGUUCCCAGGGAACUGUUCUGCGAUCAUAGAAUAGAGUGGCGUAGUAGAGUAGAACAGAGUACAGUAGAAUAAAGUAGAGUAGAGUAUAAUGGAUUAUAGAACAGUAUAAUAGAGUAGAACAGUAUAAUAGAGUAGAACAGUAUAACAGAGUAGAACAGAACAGUAUAAUAGAGUAGAGUUGAAUAGAAUAGAACAGUAUAAUAGAGUUGAAUAGAGU